Molecule: ribosomal RNA, 251 nt
Filed under: uncultured bacterium
Lineage: Bacteria
Description: partial 16S ribosomal RNA
Rfam family: Bacterial small subunit ribosomal RNA
Source: RNAcentral
GACGUUGACGGGGAAGCGUUACUGGCCGUUACUAGACGUAAAGAGUGGCUAGAUUGUUUAAGUUUUUUUGUCUAAAAUCAAAGAAUUGUCGAAGACUGGCAUAAAACCUUAAUACUAGAGGAGUAAAGAGAUUUGCGAUAAGUUUAAUCUAGAGAUAGAAUUCUAAAAGAUUAAAAAGAUCUUCAAAUGUCACGACAGCAAUUUACUUAUUAUCCUGACAUCAAACCAUUAAAGUUCGGGUAUCAAUCAGG